GACGAACGCUGGCGGCGUGCUUAACACAUGCAAGUCGAACGGAAAGGCCCUGCUUUUGUGGGGUGCUCGAGUGGCGAACGGGUGAGUAACACGUGAGUAACCUCCCCUUAACUUUGGGAUAACUUCAGGAAACUGGGGCUAAUACCGGAUAGGAGCUCCUGCUGCAUGGUGGGGGUUGGAAAGUUUCGGCGGUUGGGGAUGGACUCGCGGCUUAUCAGCUUGUUGGUGGGGUAGUGGCUUACCAAGGCUUUGACGGGUAGCCGGCCUGAGAGGGUGACCGGCCACAUUGGGACUGAGAUACGGCCCAGACUCCUACGGGAGGCAGCAGUGGGGAAUAUUGCACAAUGGGCGGAAGCCUGAUGCAGCAACGCCGCGUGCGGGAUGACGGCCUUCGGGUUGUAAACCGCUUUCGCCUGUGACGAAGCGUGAGUGACGGUAAUGGGUAAAGAAGCACCGGCUAACUACGUG
Molecule: ribosomal RNA, 468 nt
Filed under: uncultured bacterium
Lineage: Bacteria
Description: partial 16S ribosomal RNA
Rfam family: Bacterial small subunit ribosomal RNA
Source: RNAcentral